Molecule: ribosomal RNA, 821 nt
Filed under: uncultured Campylobacter sp.
Lineage: Bacteria; Pseudomonadati; Campylobacterota; Epsilonproteobacteria; Campylobacterales; Campylobacteraceae
Description: bacterial SSU rRNA
Rfam family: Bacterial small subunit ribosomal RNA
Source: RNAcentral
AAGGGCGCGUAGGCGGAUUNUCAAGUCUCUUGUGAAAUCCAACGGCUUAACCGUUGAACUGCUUGGGAAACUGANAAUCUAGAGUGGGGGAGAGGCAGAUGGAAUUGGUGGUGUAGGGGUAAAAUCCGUAGAUAUCACCAAGAAUACCCAUUGCGAAGGCGAUCUGCUGGAACUUAACUGACGCUAAGGCGCGAAAGCGUGGGGAGCAAACAGGAUUAGAUACCCUGGUAGUCCACGCCCUAAACGAUGUAUGCUAGUUGUUGGGGUGCUAGUCAUCUCAGUAAUGCAGCUAACGCAUUAAGCGUACCGCCUGGGGAGUACGGUCGCAAGAUUAAAACUCAAAGGAAUAGACGGGGACCCGCACAAGCGGUGGAGCAUGUGGUUUAAUUCGAAGAUACGCGAAGAACCUUACCUGGGCUUGAUAUCCUAAGAACCUUAUAGAGAUAUGAGGGUGCUAGCUUGCUAGAACUUAGAGACAGGUGCUGCACGGCUGUCGUCAGCUCGUGUCGUGAGAUGUUGGGUUAAGUCCCGCAACGAGCGCAACCCACGUAUUUAGUUGCUAACACUUCGGGUGAGCACUCUAAAUAGACUGCCUUCGUAAGGAGGAGGAAGGUGUGGACGACGUCAAGUCAUCAUGGCCCUUAUGCCCAGGGCGACACACGUGCUACAAUGGCAUAUACAAUGAGACGCAAUACCGCGAGGUGGAGCAAAUCUAUAAAAUAUGUCCCAGUUCGGAUUGUUCUCUGCAACUCGAGAGCAUGAAGCCGGAAUCGCUAGUAAUCGUAGAUCAGCCAUGCUACGGUGAAUACGUUCCCGGGUCU